Molecule: ribosomal RNA, 451 nt
Filed under: uncultured bacterium
Lineage: Bacteria
Description: partial 16S ribosomal RNA
Rfam family: Bacterial small subunit ribosomal RNA
Source: RNAcentral
GAUGAACGCUGGCGGUAUGCCUAACACAUGCAAGUCGAACGGGCUUUUCGGAGCUAGUGGCGGACGGGUGAGUAACGCGUGAGAAUCUGCCUUCAGGAUGGGGAUAACAGGGAGAAAUCGCUGCUAAAACCCAAUGUGCCGAAAGGUGAAAUACUUGUAGCCAGAAGAGGAGCUCGCGUCCGACUAGUUAGUUGGUGGGGUAAGAGCCUACCAAGGCAGCGAUCGGUAGCUGGUCUGAGAGGAUGAGCAGCCACACUGGGACGGAGACACGGCCCAGACUCCUACGGGAGGCAGCAGUGGGGAAUUUUCCGCAAUGGGCGAAAGCCUGACGGAGCAAUACCGCGUGAGGGAGGAAGGCUUUUGGGUUGUAAACCUCUUUUGUUAAGGAAGAAGAAAGUGACGGUACUUAAAGAAUAAGCAUCGGCUAACUCCGUGCCAGCAGCCGCCGUAA